RNAcentral lists this ribosomal RNA (497 nucleotides) under uncultured bacterium. Its description in RNAcentral is "partial 16S ribosomal RNA". It matches the Rfam family "Bacterial small subunit ribosomal RNA", at positions 28 to 507 of the family's 1533-position model. The record is from RNAcentral.
GAUGAACGCUGGCGGCGUGCCUAAUACAUGCAAGUCGAGCGAACGGACGAGAAGCUUGCUUCUCUGAUGUUAGCGGCGGACGGGUGAGUAACACGUGGAUAACCUACCUAUAAGACUGGGAUAACUUCGGGAAACCGGAGCUAAUACCGGAUAAUAUUUUGAACCGCAUGGUUCAAAAGUGAAAGACGGUCUUGCUGUCACUUAUAGAUGGAUCCGCGCUGCAUUAGCUAGUUGGUAAGGUAACGGCUUACCAAGGCAACGAUGCAUAGCCGACCUGAGAGGGUGAUCGGCCACACUGGAACGGAGACACGGUCCAGACUCCUACGGGAGGCAGCAGUAGGGAAUCUUCCGCAAUGGGCGAAAGCCUGACGGAGCAACGCCGCGUGAGUGAUGAAGGUCUUCGGAUCGUAAAACUCUGUUAUUAGGGAAGAACAUAUGUGUAAGUAACUGUGCACAUCUUGACGGUACCUAAUCAGAAAGCAACGGCUAACUACGUG